AACGAACGCUGGCGGCAGGCCUAACACAUGCAAGUCGAACGCCCCGCAAGGGGAGUGGCAGACGGGUGAGUAACGCGUGGGAACCUUCCCAAAGGUGCGGAAUAGCUCAGGGAAACUUGGGGUAAUACCGCAUAAUGCCGAGAGGCCAAAGAUUUAUCGCCUUUGGAUGGGCCCGCGUCGGAUUAGCUAGUUGGUGAGGUAACGGCUCACCAAGGCGACGAUCCGUAGCUGGUUUGAGAGAAUGACCAGCCACACUGGGACUGAGACACGGCCCAGAGUCCUACGGGAGGCAGCAGUGGGGAAUCUUGGACAAUGGGCGCAAGACUGAUCCAGCCAUGCCGCCUGAGUGACGAAGGCCUUAGGGUUGUAAAGCUCUUUUGCCGGGGACGAUAAUGACGGUACCCGGAGAAUAAGUCCCGGCUAACUUCGUGCCAGCCGCCGCAGUAA
This 447-nucleotide ribosomal RNA is filed under the name uncultured bacterium. RNAcentral describes it as "partial 16S ribosomal RNA". It matches the Rfam family "Bacterial small subunit ribosomal RNA", at positions 29 to 523 of the family's 1533-position model. The record is from RNAcentral.